This 242-nucleotide ribosomal RNA is filed under the name uncultured soil bacterium. RNAcentral describes it as "partial 16S ribosomal RNA". It matches the Rfam family "Bacterial small subunit ribosomal RNA", at positions 26 to 271 of the family's 1533-position model. The record is from RNAcentral.
AGGACGAACGCUGGCGGCGUGCUUAACACAUGCAAGCCGAGCGGAAAGGCCUUUCGGGGUACUCGAGCGGCGAACGGGUGAGUAACACGUGAGUAAUCUGCCCAUCGCUUCAGGAUAGCCAUCGGAAACGGUGAUUAAUACUGGAUAUGACAUUCCUUCGCAUGUUGGGGUGUGGUAAAGUUUUUUCGGCGGUGGAUGUGCUCGCGGCCUAUCAGCUUGAUGGUGGGGUAAUGGCCUACCAU